This 492-nucleotide ribosomal RNA is filed under the name uncultured bacterium. Its description in RNAcentral is "partial 16S ribosomal RNA". It matches the Rfam family "Bacterial small subunit ribosomal RNA", at positions 29 to 507 of the family's 1533-position model. The record is from RNAcentral.
AGUGAACGCUGGCGGUAGGCCUAACACAUGCAAGUCGAACGGCAGCACAGUAAGAGCUUGCUCUUACGGGUGGCGAGUGGCGGACGGGUGAGGAAUACAUCGGAAUCUACUUUUUCGUGGGGGAUAACGUAGGGAAACUUACGCUAAUACCGCAUACGACCUACGGGUGAAAGCAGGGGAUCUUCGGACCUUGCGCGAUUGAAUGAGCCGAUGUCGGAUUAGCUAGUUGGCGGGGUAAAGGCCCACCAAGGCGACGAUCCGUAGCUGGUCUGAGAGGAUGAUCAGCCACACUGGAACAGAGACACGGUCCAGACUCCUACGGGAGGCAGCAGUGGGGAAUAUUGGACAAUGGGCGCAAGCCUGAUCCAGCCAUACCGCGUGGGUGAAGAAGGCCUUCGGGUUGUAAAGCCCUUUUGCUGGGAAAGAAAAGCAGCAGGUUAAUACCCCGCUGUUCUGACGGUACCCAAAGAAUAAGCACCGGCUAACUUCGUG